This 706-nucleotide long non-coding RNA is filed under the name Ananas comosus (pineapple). RNAcentral's name for it is "long non-coding RNA (ACOM_LNC009660)". Lineage: Eukaryota; Viridiplantae; Streptophyta; Magnoliopsida; Poales; Bromeliaceae. The record is from RNAcentral.
CAUUAUAUAUAUAUAUAUAUAUAUAUAUAUAUAUAUAUAUAGAGAGAGAGAGAGAGAGAGAGAGAGAGAGAGAGAGAGAGAGAGAGAGAGUGUGUGUGUGUUAGGCUGGUAUAUUAUCGGUAGCACGGAAGCCUCCAUACUACUAAGUUAUUUUUAAUGAUGCGGCUUUUAAAUCGACGACCGGCUCCGUUAGACUUGAUCUAUACUAUUGAAAGUAUUUGAAAACUAAAUUUUCUAAUUUUUCGGUAUCAUUUACCUAUCAAACGAGUAGUCUAAAAAUGAAUGACUGAAAAUAAAAAUUUCAUAAAAAAUGAUGAUGAAAGACUUGAAUUUAAGAUCAGAAGCACUGAUCUUACUCUAAAUAGUAAAAAAAAAUUUCUAUAAAAAUUUCAUCAGAUUUGGAUUGUUUUACACCGUUAAAUUCACAAACGCAUCACAUCUACCAUUAAAAUUGUCAAUUUUGAGACCUUUUGAUCACUAGCCAAAUGAUGUCGAAAAAUUAUGAAAUUUAGUUUUUAAAUACUUUUAAUAGUGUAGAUCAAUUCUAACGGAGCCGAUCGUCGAUUUGAAAGCUGUAUCAUUGAAAACAACUCGGUAGCACGGAGGCCUCCGUGUUAUCGAUAGUAUACCAGCCUUGCUCUCUCUCUCUCUCUAUAUUUAUAUAUAUAUAACUCUACCCCUUGCUGAAGUAGGUUCAUUUAUUAAU